CAGCUACUGUAGACUGUGAGAAUGAGCACUGUGUUUGCUCUUACUCUGUAGCUGCAAUAAAAUCAUAUAAUCCAUUUUUCCAAACCAGGAUUUUUUUUCAUAAUCAACUUUUUUUCAUAUCAUACUGAAAUUAUGUUCUAAAUAUUUCAUUUUUCCUACAAGCUGCCCCUAUUCCUAUUCUUCUGCCUCUUGUUCCACCUCCAGAGAAGAAAAAGCCAGGUCAGAAUACUUACAGUAUUUGAACAGUGUGUACAUGUUUCAUGACUGUUGGGCUUUGGGUUUUUGUUUGGUUUUUGAGGGGAUUGUUUAAUUUAUUUUUAAUUAAAUUUUUUAAUAAAUAUUUUAUUCUUAAACAGAAAAAAAGGUUCCACUAAAGAAAGUCCCACAAAAGGUGGUUAAAAAAGUUCCUGAAGAAGUCACACCACCUAAAGUUCCUGAGGUGCUGCCAGAGAAGCCCAAAGAGGUCAAAAUAACAUCUAUGGCAAGGAGAGAAGAGAUACAUGAAGAAAAGAAGGAAAUAUAUGAAAUGCCUAAAGAAACUUAUGAAGAAUGGGAAGAAGAUUAUGGUGAAGACCAUGAUUAUUAUGUCAAGGAAGAAGGCUACGAUGAAGGGGAAGAGGAAUGGGAAGAAACUUAUGAGAAAAGAGAAGUGACUUAUGAAGAAAAAAGAGUCAUUCAUGAAGAAGUGGUUGAAGUUCCUAAGAAACCUGUGCCUGAGCGAAAACCACCAGCAAUUACAGCUGAAAAGAAGGAAAAGAAGGAAGUAACAGUUCAAAAAGUUGUCAAGAAGCCUGUCGAUGAAAAAGUGGAGAUGACCACUCAGAGGGUUACAGAAGAAAAAGUCAAACGAGCUGAGGUUACCAAGAAAGUUGUACCACCAAAACCUACACCAAUGGUCAUUGAGGAAAAAGUUAUGAAAAAGGAAGUACCGACAGUAGAAACAUGGACUGUUUCAGAAGAAAAGAUGUCAGUUUCUGUCCAGAGAGAAGAAGAGUAUUCAUAUGUUACAGGUAUGUACAAAACCAAAAAUCUGUGA
Molecule: long non-coding RNA, 1036 nt
Filed under: Manacus vitellinus (golden-collared manakin)
Lineage: Eukaryota; Metazoa; Chordata; Aves; Passeriformes; Pipridae
Description: lncRNA (ENSMVIG00005000985.1)
Source: RNAcentral